AGAGCUCAGAUUUGAAAGCUGGCACCUCCGGUGUCCGCGUUGUAAUCUCGAGACGCGUUUUCCGCGCGGCGCUAUGGACAAGUUCCUUGGAACGGGACAUCGUAGAGGGUGAAAAUCCCGUACUUGCCAUGGAUGUACCGUGCUUUGCGAUACACGCUCCAAGAGUCGAGUUGUUUGGGAUUGCUGCUCAAAAUGGGUGGUAGACUCCAUCUAAAGCUAAAUAUCGGGGAGAGACCGAUAGCGAACAAGUACCGUGAGGGAAAGAUGAAAAGCACUUUGGAAAGAGAGUUAAAAGUACGUGAAAUUGUCGAAAGGGAAGCGCUUGAAGUCAGCCAUGCCGCUGGGGACUCACCCUGGCUUUUGCUUGAGGUAUUUCCUGGGUAGCCAGGCCGCAUUGGGUUGGCUCCGCCGAAAAAGGUACCAGGAAUGGGGGCCCCUCCGGGUGGUUAUUAGCCCUGAUUGGAAUCCAGCAUGUAGAACCAGGAACCGCGGGGUGCUCUCGGGGCGGCUCUUUGACACACCUUCACUUUAGAUAUGCUGGCGUAAUGGCUUAAGUGGCC
RNAcentral lists this ribosomal RNA (560 nucleotides) under Malassezia slooffiae. RNAcentral's name for it is "LSU rRNA". It matches the Rfam family "Eukaryotic large subunit ribosomal RNA", at positions 104 to 649 of the family's 3401-position model. Lineage: Eukaryota; Fungi; Basidiomycota; Malasseziomycetes; Malasseziales; Malasseziaceae. The record is from RNAcentral.